CACGUAGGGUGCGAGCGUUGUCCGGAAUUACUGGGCGUAAAGAGCUCGUAGGUGGUUUGUCGCGUUGUCCGUGAAAACUCACAGCUUAACUGUGGGCGUGCGGGCGAUACGGGCAGACUGGAGUACUGCAGGGGAGACUGGAAUUCCUGGUGUAGCGGUGGAAUGCGCAGAUAUCAGGAGGAACACCGGUGGCGAAGGCGGGUCUCUGGGCAGUAACUGACGCUGAGGAGCGAAGGCGUGGGGAGCGAACAGG
Molecule: ribosomal RNA, 253 nt
Filed under: uncultured bacterium
Lineage: Bacteria
Description: partial 16S ribosomal RNA
Rfam family: Bacterial small subunit ribosomal RNA
Source: RNAcentral